Molecule: long non-coding RNA, 7309 nt
Filed under: Daucus carota (carrot)
Lineage: Eukaryota; Viridiplantae; Streptophyta; Magnoliopsida; Apiales; Apiaceae
Description: long non-coding RNA (DCAR_LNC002808)
Source: RNAcentral
UCUGACUAUCGGGGGAUUCCUCUUCCUAAGGUUAAAGAAAUAUGCUCCCACAUAUUAGGAGGGUUGGAUUACUUACAUCGCAAGCUUUCUAUUAUACAUACUGAUCUGAAGCCAGAAAAUGUGUUACUUUUGUCAAUGAUUGACCCGAGUAAAGAUCCAACAAAGUCAGGCGUACCUUUCAUCAUCCCAUCUAAGAAGGAUAAGAUUGUGCCUGAGUCUGGGGCUUGUAAAGAGGUAAGGAGCUACAAUAGUGAUUUGACCAAGAACCAAAAAAAGAAAAUCCGUAAAAAGGCUAAGAAAGCAGCUCAAAAUUGUAUGGAGGAACAUCCAGAAGAAAGUGAGCCAGAUAAUGAAGCAGCUGUAACCGAAGUUCCCCAUCAUGAUAAGAAAUCAAAUAGCGACUCAAUUGAAGAUAAAUCUAUGAGAGAUAGGUCAACAACUACAGGCAGUAAUAGGAAUUCACAACAAGGAAACCAAAGUCACAGAAGAGGCAGCCGUUCUGCAAGACGAAAGCUAUUAUCUGAGAUUGACACUAGGUGCAAAUUAGUUGAUUUUGGUAAUGCCUGUUGGACAUAUAAACAGUUUACAAGUGAUAUUCAGACUCGGCAAUAUAGGUGUCCUGAGGUACUCCUAGGAUCGAAGUACUCAACUUCAGCUGAUCUAUGGUCAUUCGCUUGUAUAUGCUUUGAACUGGCCACUGGUGAUGUCCUCUUUGAUCCGCACAGUGGUGAUAACUAUGACCGAGAUGAGGUAUGGACAAGCUCUUCUCAAUCUUAUGACUUUAUUUGCUAUAAAUAUUUCCUGUUUUACCUUUUGUGUAUAGAUUAGUUGAUUGCCAUCUGUGUGUGUAAGGAGCAAUGAGUGUGUUGCUCUUACUAUUAUCUCCUGCUGCUUUCUCCCUGACCUCCUAACGUAGUGACAUUGCUGCACCAAAGGGAGAUCUUUGGGGAUCUAUGUGUGAUUAUCGAUGAUUAAUUGACCACUGUUAAUUUCAAGAUCUUGUUGUUCCCUGCAGUGUAGAAUUAAAUGCUAAAAUAAGACUAGGAGAUGCAAGUAUCUUCAUACACUUGAAAAGGGAAUGAGAAUAAUCUUAUUUCUCAUUAUGAUGCAGUAUUAAAACUAAUUUGAUUUAUCUCCCAAAAUAUACUACUCCCUAGAUAUUAUGCCGAGCAAUGCAAUUUUUAGUUUCACUGAUAAUCGUGCAUUUUCAAUCCACUUCAUAGGAUCACUUGGCAUUGAUGAUGGAGCUUCUCGGAAUGAUGCCUCGCAAGGUGAGAUUUAUCUAUUAUUAAUAAGAUUCUUUUCAUGAAUCUUUCUUUAUUAUGUAGGAUCUGCACUGUGAUGUAUAUCACAUAGUUCGUAUUUGUUUAAAUUUUUCUGCCUUGAUCCGUGGUUCUGUUCGCUUAUUACUAUCAUGAUUUAUUCAUGUCAGAUUGCUCUGGGAGGACGACAUUCUCGAGAAUUUUUUAAUAGAUACGGUGAUUUAAGGCACAUACGUCGGUUACGUUUUUGGCCACUUAAUAAGGUGCUUGUGGAGAAAUAUGAGUUUAGUGAGCAAGAUGCGAAGGACUUGGCUGAUUUUCUUGUUCCCUUACUUGAUUUUGUACCUGAGAAAAGGCCCACAGCUGCACAGUGCCUUUCUCAUUCAUGGUUUUCCAGCGGUCCUCGUUCUUUAGAUCCCACUCUAGUUACACCCGAGGCUACAGAUAGUAUUUUGUCUGAAAAAAAGCGAGAAAAUGAAGAGAGAGAGGCAAUGGAGGUUGCAGUGGGGAACAUUGUGAUUGAUGGAGCUUCAAAGCCCGUGAAAGAUCCAAAACAAAAUUAGAGCAUGUCAUGUUUUUUAAUAGGACUAUUUUCCUGUUAAGCAGUGUAUGCUAAUUUUGGUUUCUUAUAUUUCGUUGUUGCUCCUCCAUUGCUCAUCCUCUGUCUUGUCGCCAAUUUGUUUGACAUCCAUGCAAAGUUUUGGGUUUAUGAAGUGAAGACAUUUGAUUCUUUGAUGGGUAUGAAUUGAACUUCUCUGUGAUUCGUUUGCCAUCUGUUAAUAUCGAUGGAACACUAUAUUCAAGCACCAUUAAAUUGUGAGUAUUUUUCUAAUGUAUGUGUUAUCUCUUGAGCAGAAAGACGAUCGAGUAUAAUUCUUGUCCAAGGUCUGUGAGGACAUGUCUUUCUUUACAAGUAGGUCAUUCUUGUAUCGUACUUUAGCUGCGAUUGCUUGUAUGUUUCAUACCAACUUGCCUACAAAUUAUUAGUUGCAUUUAUGUGGAAGUCUUCAUUCUUAUUAUUUUUUUGAUAACUGAGAGUUCUCCAUUAUCUGUUGGUAAUAAGUAACUAGAACAUCUUUGCAUAAUUUCAUAUAGCAGUUGUUUGAUCACGACUGCCAUAUGGUUUUCAGGGAAUCAUCAGGAUGUACAAACAUUAUCUGCAUGUUGAGUGUGCAGAGAUUAGCUUCGGAUGACGGGGAGCAUUUUAAAGGUGUAAAUCAGAUUAGAGUUAUAAGUGCAUAUUCAGUUCAGCAUCAUUAUUAUGCUCUAUUUCUUGUGUAUGGUGUUAAUGCUGUUAUUCUUUCGUAUUUGUGAAAGUUCACCCUAACUAUGAUGUUUGUCUGUUUAGUGAUUUAAGAAUAUUUGGGGUGAUAAUUGCACAUUUUUAUCCCCCUUUGUUGUGUUUUUACUGGUUGCCGCUUUAAUAUGUUCACCUUAUUGUGUGAUGAAAUAGAAGCUAGCAUUUGUAUACAGGUAGAAAGCUAGUUGCGUUUUUAAGUGUUUGAAAGUGUUGCUUCACAAACGGUUCUUACUGGAAUGUAAUAUCUCUCUAUAGGAAGAGCUAAGCAUUUGAUUUAAUUUAGUGACUUGUAGAUUAUAAAAUAGACUAAAGGCCAUUUUUGAAUCACUAAGUUAUUGUUUAUGGAAUUCACAGAUGGGGUUCUAUAAAUAGAGCUCAGCAAAUUCGAAAAAUUAUUUAAAAUGUUUCUUUUAAAUCCUAAUAUAAUGGAAAUCUUUUUAGGGUCGUGCUUAUGAGAGAACUAAUGCUUAAAAUAAAAUCAUAGAAUCACUAAAAUUUUGCUACAGAACUCUGUUUUUUACAUAAAUUUUCAGGAUCUAAAUCUAAUUACAUGUUUUUUUUUAUCAUUGUGUGUUUUCAAAAGUAAUUUCAAAUAUAAUACAUAAAUAAAACAUUUUUUUAAUGCAUAAUUCUGCUGCAGAACUCUAACUAAUAGUAGAAAUAAGUCAAUGAUUGUAAGGGUUCUAUGCCUAAGGGUUCUGUGCGGAACAUGGCCCAAAUUUUCUAAUCCAUGUCUUAUUAUUGCCAAAGCAAUUUUCAGAAUCUCACAUUUUUUUAUAUGAAAAAUGUCGAGGCAAGGCAAGUUAAGUCAACUUCGUUAGAAAUUGGUAAGCCGUCAAAAAACUGUUCAUCCAUUCAUAUAUUUGUUUCUUUGGCAAUAUAAAUAAAUUUAUAAGGAAAAGAUAAUAUUUUAUUUAUUUGUUAUUUAAAAAAUAUAUAUUUAUAAACAAACUAUUAUGAGUUGGAAUAUAUUAAAUUUAGAGGUCGUUUGGUUCAUCAUUAAUGAGUCCGGUUACAGCAAUUGGAAUCUUAGACCUAUACAUCGUGUUUAGAUUAGCAAAAUUUUUGUGUGGAAUGGGAACCUCAUUCUCUUUUAGAGGGUAAAUCAUUCUUUCCGCACCCCUUGCAUUAACCUUUUCCAUACCCUCAUUCUCAAUUCUCAUAUCCCUCAUUCUCUUUCUCAAUUCACAUUCCCACUGAGCAUCUUCAAGAACCUCCUUGUUGGCUCCUAAAUAUAAUAUAAAAAAAUAUGGCUCUUAGCAAUUUAGGACAAAGCUAAGAGUGUAAACUCCAACAAUACUCUUUACAUUUCUUCUCUAUUUUAUAUUUUAUUCAUAUAUUGGGCUCCAUUAUAACAAAAGAGAUGGAAAGAUGGAGGUGAAUUGGAUGGAAGAAUUUUUUAUUGUGAAAAAAUAAGUUAGGAACAAUGUAGUGGCUCUUAACUUUGAGGAGAGAGUAGAGAGAAACAAAAUGCUUGUGUUUGGUUGGGGUGAAUGAUUCCGGAAGGAAUGGAAUGGAAAAAUGAACUAUCUUAUGCAUAAUUUUUAAAAAAUUUAAUUCUUUCCUCCAUUCCAUUCCAUACAUCAUAAGCUAGAUAUCACACCUCCAAUUUGAGAUGGAAUGCUCUAUUCUCUCCUAUCCUCAAUUUCUUCACAAAUCCCAUCAUAGCAAUUUUGCCCUCCCUCAAUUUUUUUUCAAAACUGUCUUCCUAUCUCUAUUAAUUUCAAGUAUUUUUACUCAUUCCAUUCCAUUCCAUUCUACCCAACCAAACACAACAUUAAGAGUCCCUUGGAGUAACAUUUUUUCUAUCCCUCCUCAAAUCUCAAGUUAGGAGCCUAAAUGAAGAGUCUCUUGGAGAUGCUCUUAGUGACCAAAAUUUUAAAUUAAAUUCGGUUCAAGUUAAGUAUUUGACCCGUGUAUUCAAUUCUGACUAUCUUCGACUUGAUAUUGGCCCGACAAUUUUGGGUAUCAGACUAUCGGGUCGGGUUGACCAUCACGGAUAAAAGUUUUGCCCGGCCUAAAAUUUUAAUAGGUCAGAAUACAACCAGAACCUGACCCUCGGUAACCCGACCCGAUCCAUGAUAUUUAUUAAUUAAUAUUUUAAAGUAAUAAAUAAAAAUCAUUUUAAUUUAAAUAAAUAAAAUUAUUUCUUAUUAAAUUUAACUAAUAAAUAUUACAAAAAUAAUAUAAAUAUAUAUAAUAUUUAUAUUAUAUAUAAAUUUCGGGUUGUUCGAAAAUGACCCUUCUUUUCGAGUUGAUUUUUUAUUAACCCGAACUCGAAAAACUCAAAUCCAAAUUCAUAUUUUAUAUUUUAUAAGUCGAAUUCGUGUCAGGUGAUGAAAUAGGAUUCAAUAUUACGGGCCCUAAUCCCACCCAACCUAACCAAACAUGAUCGACCCGAAAAUUAAAAAAUAUACAGGACAUGCAUAUACGGCGAACCAAAAUAACAAACAGUAAACAGUGAAAAGGUAAAAGGGAAAAAAGGAAAAGAAAAAUGAGUAGAGCCCGAACCAAGAAUACCCAAUAUCCAAUUAACUACUAAAACGAACCCUAAUUUCACCAACUUCAACACUUCACUCAUUCAAAGCUCGUCUCGCUCGAAAAUAAUGGCGGAAGUGGAUCACAACGACGACGUUCAAAGCGAGACGAGCGACUACACAUCGGAAGACGAAGGAACCGAGGAUUACAGAAAAGGAGGCUAUCACGCAGUUCAAAUCGGCGAUACAUUUAAACACGCUCGCUAUGUUGUGCAAAGCAAGCUCGGGUGGGGCCAUUUCUCCACUGUCUGGCUCUCUUGGGACACUCACAAAUCUGUAUGUGUAAAUAAAUAGCUAUAUUUUGGGAAAUGUUAUUUCUUUAUGUGGAUUUUGAUCUUGGAUUUUUUUUAAUUGGUUCCUAAAGUUCGUAACUUGGUGCUGUUUUUGUUUCGGAAUUAUGAUUUACGGAAUUCUUUGGUUCAGCUUAAUAGUUUACUUUUUAUCGAAAAAGUCUUUUUUUUUUGUUGACUGCUUUGUAAUGUUGAGUAGGUUAUGGUUUUGUAUGCGAAAUUUACAUGAUCCGUGAAAUAUUCGUAAUAUUGAUGUUUUGGUUGCUGUGUCAUGUGGUAUGAUGCUGUUCCUUAUUAGCUCAUGUUUUGGGGACAAGAUAUGUGUUAUAUCCACAAAUAUCAAAUUUGCUGUAAUAACUUGCCGGAAAUCCUAGCUGGCCAAAGUGUGGCGGAUUUGGGAUUGAGAAGUUGGGACGAAUGGACGAUGCUGUGGGAUUUCUGAAGCUACUCUCUUUGGACUUGAGUAAUGCUAAAAACUUAUAAAUGAAGUCUAGGAAGAUUCCAAUAUAUGAUCAUUUUUAUGUUACUAAUAUUUAGAACGAAAAGGGAUUAAACCCAUUGUGUAACUUAGUGUUGUGUAACUCUUAACAUUGAUCUAGUUCCAGGACCUUAGAUCUAUUGGAUUAACCAAAUAAGUACAAAACGAACUGAGGACUUGCUCUCUCUAAUCAGUUUCCUACGACAUUGAGAGUGUAUUGUAAUCAGGAAUUGAUGUUUUGCUUUUAAACCAAACUUUGAUGGCUAUUAACUCGGAUGGUAAUUUGCAUGCUCAUGUGUUCUACGAGUUGUUAAUUUCUUGUAUUCAGCGAUAAGCAUACCUCUUUAUUUCGGUUUUAGACUGAGCAAUAAGAUAAAUAGAAGUUUUUUUUAAGUGUUUGUAUGUCUGAAGCUAAAGGGUUAAUAACUAUGCAUGGUUGUAAGCCUGUAAUGUGACACCACACAUUAAAAGCCAUUCAGCACCAUCAUAAAACAAAGGCUAAGCAACAUUAUGGUUAUAAUGCUUCAAUAGCUGAGCAAUAGGAAUAAUAUGUCUAUGUAUAUCUCUCAUUUUGUGUAUUAACAAUGAUAUGAAUUUUCAGCUUAGUGCUUAUGGUGGGAACUGUGACAUAAUAAUACACAAUUGAAAACCAAAUUUUCCUGCUUAACAUGUACUAUUUGUUACACCAAAAUACUUAUGUAGGAAGAAUCAUAACCUGGCAUCAAUUUGAAAUUGAUUUCUAAUCAUGUUUUAAAGUUUAGAUGAGGCUCUCAUCAUUGUCAGUGCCAUUAAAUGCCUUGUUGUCAAUGUAUGUGAUACCCUUUUUCACAGUUCACUCAAAUGUGUGUUAGUGGAUAUGUUCUAUUAUGUUUUGUAGUAAAAUGAUAUGGUAAAUAUAUGCUUCCUGUGCAAUAUAUCUAUUGUCUUUGUUUUUUAGUGCUUAUAAAAUGACAAUGAACUUACAGAGCAAUGACCUUUUUUCUGUAUAGAGAUAUGUAGCCUUGAAAAUUCAAAAAAGUGCCCAACACUACACCGAGGCAGCAAUGGACGAAAUUAAGAUUUUGAAGCAGAUUGCCGAGGAAGACCCAGAUGAUAAAAAGUCAGUUGUGAAACUUCUGGAUCACUUUAAACAUUCGGGGCCAAACGGGCAGCAUGUUUGCAUGGUUUUUGAGUACUUGGGUGAUAAUCUUUUGACACUCAUCAAGUACUCUGAUUAUCGGGGAAUUCCUCUUCCUAAGGUCAAAGAGAUAUGUUCCCACAUACUAGGAGGGUUGGAUUACUUACAUCGCAAGCUUUCUAUUAUACACACUGAUCUGAAGCCAGAAAAUGUGCUACUUUUGUCAAUGAUUGAUCCGACUAAGGAUCCAACAAAGUCAGGCGUGCCUCUCAUCAUCCCGUCCAAGAAGGAUAAGAUUGUGCCAGGGUCUGGUGCUUGUAGAGAG